CAAACAACUUCAACAAACAGUUCUGACAGCCGAGGACACUGAACAAAGAGACGGACUUCCCCCAGCUCCGGAUCAAGGUGCGCUCUGUACCCGUUUGUAGCCAUCGCCCCGUGAACGACCCUCCACUGGAGGUCUGCUGUCCGCUUCUCAACGGGCAGCUUGUACAGAGACCUUCCAGCUGCCUUUCGGGGGAAACCUCUGGACCAAAGAAACCGGUCCACCUCGACUCCUUUUAUCCCGGCCAAAGACCGCAACUUCACCACCUUGACACACAUCCCGGAUUCCUUCAAGCCGGGAUGUUUGGCUACAAGAGCCUCUGCAGCCUCAGCGAUCUCUUUAUCACUUUGUUUCAGUUCAACAUCAAAUGCAAAUGUGGGAACAGGAAAAGGACCUGGAGGCCACCUGCUGAGACGCUCUGGAGAUCUGAAAGUAGGACAGUAGAUGCAUUAGAGCUGGAGUCUUGUGAACGUGAGGUGUGCGCAACACCUUUUUGUGGCAAUUCCUCAAUGUCUGCAAGGUUCCCUUCAAAGUCUGCAAGGUUCCCUUCAAAGUCUGCAAGGUUCAUCUUCAAAGUCUGCAAGGUCACCUUCAAAGUCUGGAAGGUUCCCUUCAAUGUCUGCAAGGUUACCUUCAAAGUCUGCAAGGUUCAUCUUCAAAG
Molecule: long non-coding RNA, 658 nt
Organism: Cyclopterus lumpus (lumpfish)
Lineage: Eukaryota; Metazoa; Chordata; Actinopteri; Perciformes; Cyclopteridae
Exons: 3
Source: RefSeq, a predicted model, not a curated record